CAUUAGCUAGUUGGUAAGGUAACGGCUUACCAAGGCAAUGAUGCAUAGCCGAGUUGAGAGACUGAUCGGCCACAUUGGGACUGAGACACGGCCCAAACUCCUACGGGAGGCAGCAGUAGGGAAUCUUCCACAAUGGACGCAAGUCUGAUGGAGCAACGCCGCGUGAGUGAAGAAGGGUUUCGGCUCGUAAAGCUCUGUUGGUAGUGAAGAAAGAUAGAGGUAGUAACUGGCCUUUAUUUGACGGUAAUUACCUAGAAAGUCACGGCUAACUACGUGCCAGCAGCCGCGGUAAUACGUAGGUGGCAAGCGUUGUCCGGAUUUAUUGGGCGUAAAGCGAGUGCAGGCGGUUCAAUAAGUCUGAUGUGAAAGCCUUCGGCUCAACCGGAGAAUUGCAUCAGAAACUGUUGAACUUGAGUGCAGAAGAGGAGAGUGGAACUCCAUGUGUAGCGGUGGAAUGCGUAGAUAUAUGGAAGAACACCAGUGGCGAAGGCGGCUCUCUGGUCUGCAACUGACGCUGAGGCUCGAAAGCAUGGGUAGCGAACAGGAUUAGAUACCCUGGUAGUCCAUGCCGUAAACGAUGAGUGCUAAGUGUUGGGAGGUUUCCGCCUCUCAG
RNAcentral lists this ribosomal RNA (613 nucleotides) under uncultured bacterium. RNAcentral describes it as "bacterial SSU rRNA". It matches the Rfam family "Bacterial small subunit ribosomal RNA", at positions 239 to 843 of the family's 1533-position model. The record is from RNAcentral.